AGAAGCGUAAGCUAACUAAAGCUAUUGGGCCCAUACCCCAAAAAUGAAGGUCUUCCCCUCCGCUCCUA
This 68-nucleotide transfer RNA is filed under the name Paleosuchus palpebrosus (Cuvier's dwarf caiman). Its description in RNAcentral is "tRNA-Met". The record is from RNAcentral. Lineage: Eukaryota; Metazoa; Chordata; Crocodylia; Alligatoridae.